UCUUUCUUCUGCUAGACCAAGCACGGGUACGGAGAAGAUGGAGUUAAACACCUUUUAAGUUGACAGAACGUGGAGACAAAUGAUCAGAAGUCCAUUCACUGUUUCACCGCUCAUGAGGGGGAGAGUCUCUGCAGCAAGUCCCGCGACCUGCUCUUGCCAGAUGCUUCGGACAGACUCUCCCCGUUCUGCUGAAAACGGCUGAUUUUUAUUGAAGAUUACAGGAAUGUUACAUACGUAGUUUGCCAUACACACACGUAAUUCUGCCAUCUGCACCUGCAGACGCACGUCAGCUAAUAGCCUUGUUAAUGAAAGACCAAUUCAUCCCAAGGACAUGCAACCUUGAGAUGAUCAGGACACAUCCUGCAACAUCCUUUGCUAACAAAGACAGUUGUUCUUGUAUUGAGGAACUGAAGGAAGGAACGCUUUCACUCCCUUAUGCAGCUGUUCAGCUUGAGCAGAAAAGGCACAGAGAGGUCUUUGAUAUUAUAACAAGAUUCCAUGAAAAGGCAUAUAAUAAUGUAUUUAUGAUAAUAUAUAAGGGGCAAAAGUGAGAGAUACAUAUUUAAUCAUAUAAAAGAGCUUAUAAUAAUAUAUGAAAGAGCUUAUAUGAGAGAUAUAUAUUUUCAAUCCCCCUUUUGAACUCUUUUAAGAGUUCAAUAAAGAUAUAAGAAAUCAAAACAAUAACACCAAAUUCCAUCAAAAAGAAUCCAAUAAGCAAAGUUUUUUUUUUUUUAAAAUACCAAUACAAACAACCAAUCAGAUUACAUUUACUCAUCUUUCUAGCAGUAAACUAAUACAAAAAACAUGAUCAUACUUUCAACUGAACAUGUUACAACAUGUAUGGAUCGCAUGCAACUCCAUAUGAGGGCGAAAAACCCUAAUUAUCAUAUGUUUAUAGGGAAAAUUCCCCCAUGUCCCCCCAUUUGUCAUAUCUCAAUUUUGGGGCGAACACCUGUUGGCAUAGAGUGUGCAUGCCUAGGACAUCAAUGAUCAACAAAAAAUAAAACAAAACAAACAAAAAAAUCAUAAAAAUGAACUGGUGAAGGGAUGGUUACAUAAAUCACUGAACAUUCUCACACUCUAACAACAUCUUCUUCAUCAUGAGAGUCAUCACUAUCAUCAGAGAGUUCCCCUCCCAAAUAGAUGUUAGGAUUGGCUAGUAACAAGGGCAUCUGGAUAAUUGGGUCAGCAGGUGGAGGGUGUAAAAUAUAACCCUUGUAAAAUAAAUGAGGGUGUUAAAUAGAACCCUUGUAGAAUGUUCAUAGGGUGGUUACUUCUUCCCCCUGUUGAAGACCCUUCACUGGCUCCAGGCAGCUGCAGGGGGUGAUGAUGUCAUGAUUCUCGUCCUGCAGGAUGUGGUGGCAGCUUGGCAUGCUACUGCAGUCAGCUACUUCUCUUCCUGGUUUUUGGAUCCUUUCUCUGGUUAGGCAGAUGUCAGCUGCUUCUCUUCCAGGUUAGGCUCCUCCCGUCCAGCCGGACAGCGUGUGAUGUCCUCUCCGUGAUCCUGUAUGGCCCGGUCCACCUCGGUUCCGUCCACUUCCUUUUGGUGACUUUUAGCAGGACCCAGACGCCUGGCACCGAAGGCGAAGUAUCUUCGUGUGUGGUUUUGGUCCAAUGAAGGCUUUCUCGACUUGUGCAGUCCUUGAUCUCGGCAGAUAGUUGGUAGGAAGGCUCACACUCCGGCCGGACCAGAAGUUCCCUGAACCGAUCGCCUAGGGAUUAAAGGUUAUGCACAAAAAUGUCCUAGCUCUUACUGACCCUAGCCUCUGAUACCUUCAACAUCAGACACAUACAGUUACGAACAGCAAGCGCAAUUAAAGGUACAGUGACAUCACGACAUGGACACACAGACACACACACAUGCACAUACACAGAGAGAGAGGGAGAGAGUAAGAAUGUGUGUGGGAGAAAGAAAUGUGUGGGAUCCAUUUUGCCACCAGCAUCUCCACCUGUGUCACAGAGAAAAAAUUGCAAAGAAAUUAAAACAUAAAGCAAACAACAAUAAUUCAAUGAGUAUAAAUGAUCAAACUAAAAUAUACAACCAUGCAUGGGUUUUAUAACAGUUCCGGCAACACUGGAGAGGAAUCCUUGUAUAAUGAAUUCUUAAGAUGUCCUUCAUCAAUUAGAGGUUAUAGCCAAAUUGUUUCAGGAUCCUGAAUUUGAAUUUGAAUUGGUUAAUUUACUCAGAAUAGUCCAAUGUCUUUGUUGAUGUUUCUCAAGGCUCGGCCAUGCCCAUAUAGAUAAAAUAAGCAAACAAACAAGACAAACACAGUCAAACACACGGUCCAUACACGUCUCUGUGCCCUCACACACCAAGCAAAUGUCAGACUGAAGCGAAAGUGUGAAAUACUUAACCUAAUGCUAAAUCAGUGGAAAGAAAAAAUAAGACCUAAAGCGUGUAAUCAAAUUAAUCCAACAAAACUUCCCAUAACUGCCGUUCUAAACUCAUGUUGCGGUGUGAUCUCUCCAAUUAAAAAUUAGGACAACCACUUUUACUAUCAAUUCAACCAAAUAGUUUCAGGUUGUCCCUUACCUAAACUACCUGUCUUUCUUACCUUCUUUCUUUCUUUCUUUCUUUCUUUUUUAGGAACACUACUCGCACAAGAAAUCCUAAGAAUUAAUUCACUACUUAAGGUUAAUUCAUAAAUAACGAAACUGCAGUUACAGGUUUGUUUGUGCAUAGUAUUGGUAAUCAGCAGUUUUUUUUCCUUAUCUCCUCAUCUAGAAGUGUUUCUGUGCUACUCCUCCAUCUAUAACACAAGUUAGUAUCAUCCUUAAAGCAUCUGAAAUUAAGCUGCAUUGCUAAAUCAAUAACGUGAUUUGUGCUAAGAAAUACUCCCCUAUCCUCUUCCUUUUUCCAGUGGCACUGAAUGACAGAUUUUAGAUCAAUUUAACGUUUUAUGACUAUUACGUUUCAUUUAAUUAAUUUUGCUUUUUCUCUCUUAUUUUUGUCUAUUUAUUUAUUUAUGUUAUUUACUUAUUUAUCAUGCCAUCCUGUGAUGAUAAUCUUAAAGACUUUUUAGCCAAUUGUCGUCAAAAAGGCCAAUUAAAAAUAUUAUGUUAAAGAUUUCACAAGAUAAAAAAUGUGAACAUAAUUUUUAUCGAAUGAGGGGUACCUUUUAUUCAAUAUCUUGUAACAUUAUUUUCUACCUCACUAUUGUCUCGGAUGAGAUGUUCCAUGAAUCAUUUAGUCAGCUGAAUGCCAAAUUAUUCAUUUAAUGUUUAUUUUUAUGCAAUGAAUGGAAUGGGAUGGAACGUUACUAUAAACUGUCCGGAAAUUUGCGCAUGUUUGCUCGAAGGAGAAAACUGUUGAAGCCUAAAGCGUUCUCCUAGACUUAUAAAUAGACACCGUUUCCUUAACUAAUGAAGAUAAGUGAUGACGCCGAUGAAUGACUUUUUGAAAAGAAAAUAAGGCUUUACUGCAUGUCCGCUGCAGCUGAGAAUCCUAAGACAAUAAAGAUUAUAUUGACGUCCAAUGAUGAGUUGGGCUGAAAUCCAGGUUACUAAUCCUAUUAUUUAUUUAUUUAUUGAUAUUAUUAUUAUCUUUUUUUUAGGCUAACUUUCUCAGUUAACUAUGUUCUACAGUAGUUUAGUAAAUUUUCCACAGUUCUGACAUUUCAUCAAUUCAACUGGUUGUUGCCAAAAAGCCUUGUUCAUUACCUGACUGCAGCAAGCACUCUUUUACUGGGUGUAACCAUAGGAAACAGUCUCUUUUGAGCCUUUCUUUGUAAGUCCAGGAUGACCACCGUCAUUGAUUAAAGUUCACAUGUUAGCACACAUGCUCCCCCUUUUGUACUUUGUUUCAUCAGCAGCAGGGCAAAUAAGUUUCUGCCUCUUUGUCCAUCUUGUAGUGCUCCCCGUCUUUAUGUUAUGAGUCACAGCUUUUGGUGAGGGCUUCCAGGUUCUCUUUGGUGAGGGCUUCCAGGUUCUCUUUGUAUAGAAGUCAGAGCCAAACAUUCUUUGCAGCUGGUUGUGACAGGCCCACCCAGUAAAGUUCAUGCCUGCCACAAUGCACAGCAAACGUUUUCCUUAAAUAUGUUGAUUGAGUUAAAAUGACAGAACUUUCUCUUUUACAAAUCAAAAUCAACGAUGGUUUCUAAUAUUUAGUCGACUUUAUUGACUCAAAGGUAAAUCUAGACUACUUCCUAUGCACAAUUUUUCUGAAUCGUCAAGUCGGUUCUACACAGGUUUUAAACUUUAGGCACAAUCUAUCCCAAAUGCAAGAUCCCUCCUUUCAUUUUUUGUUUAUCUAUUUUAUUUUGGGAAAAUAACUACCAGUUUUUAACUCAAAACAGCCUAGUACAGUUUCUAGCCAGGUUACAGGAAAUAAUACUUAGUUUAUCUGUUUUUUCAUUAUUCAGCAUCUCAAAAUCCAGCCAUUAACGUUAAUGGUUCUUAAAGUUGAGGCAAGACAAUUAUUGGAUUUUGUUUUAUAGCAAGAUUUAACAAAUAUUUUAUUUCCUUACUGAUUAUUUGUUAAUUUUAUGGUUUUCAUAAAGAUGAUCCUGAGAGGUUCAGAGCUGCUUUUCGCAGUACCCUGUGCUAUUUUUAGACUGCGGGACUCCUGUGUGUAAAAGUGGGUGGAGUCAGGUCCCCAGGCUGAAACUCCAGUCAUUCUCACUAAAUCUGUCCGAGAGGAAGGAUCUCCUGAAUACCCUAACCAGAAGCCUUAAGUCUCUCGAACUAAAUAACCGUCUAGUAAAAACAUGGACCGCACCCUGUUUCUCAAGCAGCUGCUCCCUCUAUUAAAAACUGCGUCAUUCAGAAGAUCCAGCGAAAGCAGCUCAUGCAAGAAGACACACAUUCACUCAUUCACAAGGCACAGAGACAUUCUUUGUUUGUCACAGUCUCUUUUUAUUAUUAUUAUUAUUUUUUUAAGGUAAGUCAGUUCGUCACUUAUUUAUUCUCUCUCUAUAUAUAUAUAAUAUUUUAAGCACAGAAUUUAUUUAACACUGCACUGGUUAUUUUCAGAAUUUAAUGCUUACUAUGCUUUUAAGCAGGCCUUAUGUAACAUUAGAGCAAAUCCAAUUGCAAUUUUUUUGAGAGCGCUCUGAGGAAUAGUUUAUAUAUUUAUUUUCUGCAGAUCUGUUUUGAUUUUACUGUUUAGCAGCUAUAUGACUAUAUUUCUAAAAUAAAGCUGUCAUUUACAUCCUUA
Nothobranchius furzeri (turquoise killifish) is the source of this 5155-nucleotide non-coding RNA. Lineage: Eukaryota; Metazoa; Chordata; Actinopteri; Cyprinodontiformes; Nothobranchiidae. The record is from RefSeq and is a predicted model, not a curated record.